CCUACGGGGCGCUGCAGUGGGGAAUAUUGGACAAUGGGCGAAAGCCUGAUCCAGCCAUGCCGCGUGUGUGAAGAAGGCCUUCGGGUUGUAAAGCACUUUCAGUGGGGAAGAAAGCCUUGGGGCUAAUACCCUCGAGGAAGGACAUCACCCACAGAAGAAGCACCGGCUAACUCCGUGCCAGCAGCCGCGGUAAUACGGAGGGUGCGAGCGUUAAUCGGAAUUACUGGGCGUAAAGCGCGCGUAGGCGGUCUGAUAAGCCGGUUGUGAAAGCCCCGGGCUCAACCUGGGAACGGCAUCCGGAACUGUCAGGCUAGAGUGCAGGAGAGGAAGGUAGAAUUCCCGGUGUAGCGGUGAAAUGCGUAGAGAUCUGGAGGAAUACCAGUGGCGAAGGCGGCCUUCUGGACUGACACUGACGCUGAGGUGCGAAAGCGUGGGUAGCAAACAGGAUUAGAUACCCUGGUAGUC
This 465-nucleotide ribosomal RNA is filed under the name Vreelandella stevensii. Its description in RNAcentral is "partial 16S ribosomal RNA". It matches the Rfam family "Bacterial small subunit ribosomal RNA", at positions 338 to 795 of the family's 1533-position model. Lineage: Bacteria; Pseudomonadati; Pseudomonadota; Gammaproteobacteria; Oceanospirillales; Halomonadaceae. The record is from RNAcentral.